RNAcentral lists this ribosomal RNA (301 nucleotides) under uncultured bacterium. RNAcentral describes it as "partial 16S ribosomal RNA". It matches the Rfam family "Bacterial small subunit ribosomal RNA", at positions 509 to 807 of the family's 1533-position model. The record is from RNAcentral.
CAGUAGCCGCGGGAAUACGUAGGGUGCAAGCGUUAAUCGGAAUUACUGGGCGUAAAGCGUGCGCAGGCGGUUUGUUAAGACAGAUGUGAAAUCCCCGGGCUCAACCUGGGAACUGCAUUUGUGACUGGCAAGCUAGAGUGUGGCAGAGGGGGGUGGAAUUCCGCGUGUAGCAGUGAAAUGCGUAGAUAUGCGGAGGAACACCGAUGGCGAAGGCAAUCCCCUGGACCUGUACUGGCGCUCAUGCACGAAAGCGUGGGGAGCAACCAGGAUUAGAUACCCCGGUAGUCCCUGUCUCUUAUAC